This 492-nucleotide ribosomal RNA is filed under the name uncultured bacterium. Its description in RNAcentral is "partial 16S ribosomal RNA". It matches the Rfam family "Bacterial small subunit ribosomal RNA", at positions 29 to 507 of the family's 1533-position model. The record is from RNAcentral.
AGUGAACGCUGGCGGUAGGCCUAACACAUGCAAGUCGAACGGCAGCACAGUAAGAGCUUGCUCUUACGGGUGGCGGGUGGCGGACGGGUGAGGAAUACAUCGGAAUCUACUUUUUCGUGGGGGAUAACGUAGGGAAACUUACGCUAAUACCGCAUACGACCUACGGGUGAAAGCAGGGGAUCUUCGGACCUUGCGCGAUUGAAUGAGCCGAUGUCGGAUUAGCUAGUUGGCGGGGUAAAGGCCCACCAAGGCGACGAUCCGUAGCUGGUCUGAGAGGAUGAUCAGCCACACUGGAACUGAGACACGGUCCAGACUCCUACGGGAGGCAGCAGUGGGGAAUAUUGGACAAAGGGCGCAAGCCUGAUCCAGCCAUACCGCGUGGGUGAAGAAGGCCUUCGGGUUGUAAAGCCCUUUUGUUGGGAAAGAAAAGCAGCAGGUUAAUACCCCGCUGUUCUGACGGUACCCAAAGAAUAAGCACCGGCUAACUUCGUG